This 299-nucleotide ribosomal RNA is filed under the name uncultured eukaryote. RNAcentral describes it as "partial 18S ribosomal RNA". It matches the Rfam family "Eukaryotic small subunit ribosomal RNA", at positions 1470 to 1796 of the family's 1831-position model. The record is from RNAcentral.
CCCUUAGAAGUCCUGGGCUGCACGCGCGCUACACUGACACGAUCAGCAAGUUUCUUUGUCCGAUGGGAUUGAGGAAUCUUUUGAAAUCGUGUCGUGAUGGGGAUAGAUCAUUGUAAUUUUUGAUCUUCAACGAGGAAUUCCUAGUAAGUGCAAGUCAUCAACUUGUGCUGAUUAUGUCCCUGCCAAUUGUACACACCGCCCGUCGCUGCUACCGAUUGGUGAUUAGGUGAACAAAAUGGAUGACCUAUGGUCAGAAGUCUUGUAAACCUCAUCAUUAAGAGGAAGCAAAANUCGUANCA